GCUUGGCCCUAACGAGGCCCAUCAGUGCUAAUGAAGAAAUGACCUCCAGCUAGUGCACGUGGCUGCUUAUGUGCUCACAUCCUGCCUGCUUUGGAGGUUUGGGGCCAGCGGGAGGAUGCCGGUGGCGUUAAAGCGCAGAUGGACCCGGAGAGCGAGGCGAGCGCGGAGCGCCCUCGGGAUGGAGUCGUAAGCCGGGCGUCGGAAGACAGACUCGGCUCUUGCGGUCGGGGGUGCGCAGGUUGCGGUGCAGUUGACGACGUUGAGGAAGGCCACCAGCCCUGCCCUCGCGGAACUCGUUGAAGAGCCGCGAGGCACGUUAGCGAGCAGGGAGCGACCGGCGGCCGCCCUGAAGGAGAGUCGUGGCUGAAACCGCCGUUCCCGCGCUCGGUGCGCGUCCUGACUCGCAAGCAACUGCCCAAGUACGGUAACGGGCGUCCCGCUCCAUCAGCGUCGCAGCGCCUCCGGUUGGACCAGGCUGUCAAGAGACUAUUUGCUGUUCUCUUAUUGUUUCUGCUCGAGGGGAGCCAGUCCUAUGCCUCUAGGGCAGGAAAUACCCCAGACCCAGCCUGCGGUUUGGAAGCGGCUCGCUGCUGCUGCUCUGCCAGUUCUAGAACUCAACUCCUGAAGCACAAGCCCUUGGGAAGCAUGGACUAGAAACAGUGAUGGCAUGAAACUGCGCUGCUCAGCAGAUGGAGUGAAUGCAAGAAGAAGUUAUUUCAGUCACAACAAUUUUCAAUGAUUGUUGUCUUUUUUUUUUUUUUUGUGAAUGACAAAAACUACUGUAUGCAUUAAACUAUUUCUUUGUGUCUUGGGCUGGAGAAUGCAGAUGCCAGAGUGUUAAAGGGGAUAGCUGUGACUGUCCCUGUUAAAUGGGGGGGAAAAGGGGGGAGAUGACCUCUGUGGGUCCCCUUUCAAUUGUAACAAUUCCAUAGUUCUGUGACAAGUCACGCAAUGUUUAAGAAAACAGGGAUGCAUGCUUACUGUUUAGCGUAACAGCAAUAAUGAUGAUGUAAGUUGAAUGAAUUUAUUUUUAACAUAUGGGGAAUACUUUUAGGAGUAAGAAUGUUAUAUUCUACUGUUGAACUCUAGCUGCUGUGAUGUUUGCUGUGUAAAAUCCAGGUUACAAAAGGAAAUAAAUACUGCAUUUCUAUUGAGAAAAUUUCUUGCAUUUAAUGGACUUGUCCAAAAAUGCAGACUAUUAAGUUUUCUCCUGUU
Lagopus leucura (white-tailed ptarmigan) is the source of this 1215-nucleotide long non-coding RNA. RefSeq lists it as uncharacterized. The record is from RefSeq and is a predicted model, not a curated record. The transcript has 8 exons. Lineage: Eukaryota; Metazoa; Chordata; Aves; Galliformes; Phasianidae.